AGUUGAUUUGACAGCUAAGUUCAUCAGACUUUUAAUCUUUUGGUCGAAGGUUCGAAUCCUUCACGACCCACCA
Molecule: transfer RNA, 73 nt
Filed under: Lysobacter antibioticus
Lineage: Bacteria; Pseudomonadati; Pseudomonadota; Gammaproteobacteria; Lysobacterales; Lysobacteraceae
Description: tRNA-OTHER
Source: RNAcentral